UAAUACGAAGGUGGCGAGCGUUGUUCGGAAUCACUGGGCUUAAAGCGCGCGCAGGCGGAGUGGACAGUGUCCUGUGAAAGCCCCCGGCUUAACCGGGGAAUUGCGGGGCCUACUGCCACUCUUGAGGCAAGUAGGGGUGCAUGGAACUCUUGGUGAGCGGUGGAAUGCGUAGAUAUCAAGAGGAACGCCGAAGGAGAAAUCAGUGCACUGGGCUUGUUCUGACGCUGAGGCGCGAAAGCGUGGGGAGCAAACGGGAUUAGAUACCCCGGUAGUCCACGCCGUAAACGAUGUCUACUAGGUUGUGGUUGUUCUGACACAGGCACAGCCGAAGCAAAAGUGUUAAGUAGACCGCCUGGGGAGUACGGCGGCAAGGCUA
This 376-nucleotide ribosomal RNA is filed under the name uncultured Planctomycetota bacterium. Its description in RNAcentral is "bacterial SSU rRNA". It matches the Rfam family "Bacterial small subunit ribosomal RNA", at positions 521 to 896 of the family's 1533-position model. Lineage: Bacteria; Pseudomonadati; Planctomycetota. The record is from RNAcentral.